CAGUGGGCCAGGAUUUUAUGUAACAUCGUUUGCCACACUUGAUCUCCUUAGUCCUCAUAUCUGAGAUAAUGGAAGUCAAAUAUUGUUUGGAGAGUUGGAAUGAAGAAUGGACUUGAAACCACUUAGAUAGUAGCAUGAGGUCUGACAGAAGACAAUUACUAAUGGGUAUAUUAAGUAUAUCGAUGGGUUACUUGUGUCUAGAGAACAGAGGCCAUUUAUCUUACAUUGUUACCUUCAUACCCAUUAAAGACAUUUGGUAACUGUU
Long non-coding RNA from Suricata suricatta (meerkat), 265 nucleotides. RefSeq lists it as uncharacterized. The transcript has 2 exons. The record is from RefSeq and is a predicted model, not a curated record. NCBI's taxonomy places the organism in Eukaryota, Metazoa, Chordata, Mammalia, Carnivora, Herpestidae.